UACGUAGGUGGCAAGCGUUGUCCGGAUUUACUGGGCGUAAAGAGCGCGCAGGCGGCUGGUCAAGUCCGAUGUGAAAUCUCCCGGCUCAACUGGGAAACUGCAUCGGAAACUGAUCGGCUUGAAGGUGGGAGAGGGUAGUGGAAUUCCCGGUGUAGUGGUGAAAUUCGUAGAUAUUGGGAAGAACACCAGUGGCGAAGGCGGCUAACUGGUCCGGUACUGACGCUGAGGUGCGAAAGCGUGGGGAGCAAACAGG
Molecule: ribosomal RNA, 253 nt
Filed under: uncultured bacterium
Lineage: Bacteria
Description: partial 16S ribosomal RNA
Rfam family: Bacterial small subunit ribosomal RNA
Source: RNAcentral